CUACGGGUGGCUCCAGUAAGGAAUAUUGCGCAAUGGAGGCAACUCUGACGCAGCCAUGCCGCGUGCAGGACUGAAGGCCUUAUGGGUCGUAAACUGCUUUUAUUUAGGAAUAAACUUUCGUACGUGUACGAGACUGAAGGUACUAAAUGAAUAAGCACCGGCUAACUCCGUGCCAGCAGCCGCGGUAAUACGGAGGGCGCAAGCGUUAUCCGGAUUUAUUGGGUUUAAAGGGUGCGCAGGCGGACUAUUAAGUCAGAGGUGAAAUCCCGGAGCUCAACUUCGGAACUGCCUUUGAUACUGGUAGUCUUGAAUACGGUUGAAGUAGGCGGAAUGUAGCAUGUAGCGGUGAAAUGCAUAGAGAUGCUACAGAACACCGAUCGCGAAGGCAGCUUACUAAGCCGAUAUUGACGCUCAGGCACGAAAGCGUGGGGAGCGAACAGGAUUAGAUACCCUAGUAGUC
This 460-nucleotide ribosomal RNA is filed under the name uncultured bacterium. RNAcentral's name for it is "partial 16S ribosomal RNA". It matches the Rfam family "Bacterial small subunit ribosomal RNA", at positions 339 to 795 of the family's 1533-position model. The record is from RNAcentral.